AUUGAACGCUGGCGGCAUGCUUUACACAUGCAAGUCGAACGGUAACAGGCCGCAAGGUGCUGACGAGUGGCGAACGGGUGAGUAAUGCAUCGGAACGUGCACAGUCGUGGGGGAUAACUACUCGAAAGAGUAGCUAAUACCGCAUACGAUCUAUGGAUGAAAGCGGGGGACCGUAAGGCCUCGCGCGAUUGGAGCGGCCGAUGUCAGAUUAGGUAGUUGGUGGGGUAAAGGCUCACCAAGCCAACGAUCUGUAGCUGGUCUGAGAGGACGACCAGCCACAGGGGGAAGAGGACACGGGCCAGAAUCCGACGGGGGGCAGAAGUGGGGAAUUUUGGAGAAAGGGGGCAAGGCUGGUCCAGGGAUGCCGCGUGAAGGAAGAAAGCCGUAGGGGUGGAAACUGGUUUUGUAAGGAAGGGAAGGGCCCUGGUUAAAACCCGGGGCAAAGGGGGGGCCCGUAAGAAAAAGACCCGGCCAACUACG
This 480-nucleotide ribosomal RNA is filed under the name uncultured bacterium. RNAcentral describes it as "partial 16S ribosomal RNA". It matches the Rfam family "Bacterial small subunit ribosomal RNA", at positions 29 to 505 of the family's 1533-position model. The record is from RNAcentral.